Molecule: ribosomal RNA, 483 nt
Filed under: uncultured bacterium
Lineage: Bacteria
Description: partial 16S ribosomal RNA
Rfam family: Bacterial small subunit ribosomal RNA
Source: RNAcentral
AUUGAACGCUGGCGGCAUGCUUUACACAUGCAAGUCGAACGGCAGCGCGGGCUUCGGCCUGGCGGCGAGUGGCGAACGGGUGAGUAAUACAUCGGAACGUGCCCAGUAGUGGGGGAUAGCUCGGCGAAAGCCGGAUUAAUACCGCAUACGACCUGAGGGUGAAAGCGGGGGAUCUUCGGACCUCGCGCUAUUGGAGCGGCCGAUGGCAGAUUAGCUAGUUGGUGGGGUAAAGGCCUACCAAGGCGACGAUCUGUAGCUGGUCUGAGAGGACGACCAGCCACACUGGGACUGAGACACGGCCCAGACUCCUACGGGAGGCAGCAGUGGGGAAUUUUGGACAAUGGGCGAAAGCCUGAUCCAGCAAUGCCGCGUGUGUGAUGAAGGCCUUCGGGUUGCAAAGCACUUUUGGCGGGAACGAAAAGGACUGUGCCAAUACCACGGUUCGAUGACGGUACCCGCAGAAUAAGCACCGGCUAACUACGU